This 614-nucleotide non-coding RNA is filed under the name Pan troglodytes (chimpanzee). Lineage: Eukaryota; Metazoa; Chordata; Mammalia; Primates; Hominidae. The record is from RNAcentral.
GGGCUUCAGUGCUUCAGUUCGUGGCCUGGCAUUUUGUCUAUAAGGAAGGCCUUUGAAGGGAAAUCAAGUAGGAAGAGGAUGAUAGCUGGCUCACAUGUCCUUGCCACAUGGGAGGAAGAGUGUCUUCAUCUCUGCAUCCCUAGUGCAACAGAGCAUGAUAAAAAUUCAAUAAAUAUUUAUUGAAGAGUCUUGUUGUCUUUUGGGAAAGGAACUCUAUGGUUACCUUUACUCUAAGUUAAAAACAACAACAACAACAACAACAAAAACACAAAACCCUGAGGCUCAGAAGAUAAAUAUUUGCUGAAGAUCACUGUGCUUAUUAGAUGGGUGUUACUGAUUCUUACCUCAGAGAAGAGAAUGUCAUGGAGACAAAAUGAUCUGCUUAGAGUUCUGCACCCCCCAGCAUGGAGAGCAGAGCGCAAAGAUUUCUUCCGGACUCUCACAUUCCCCUUGGAAUCCAAGAACUGGUCUACUGUCACAACACUUUAGUACCCUCUUCUCCCAAGGAGGCAGCAGAAACUGGGGUAAUCACAACGGUCAACAGCAGCAAAGGCAGCACUUUCUGAUUUACUUGACUGCUAUGGAUGCCACCUAUCUCCACGCCUCAGUUUAAU